AUACUCUGGUUUCUCUUCAGACCGUAUAAAUCUUACACCUUUUACUAAAGAUUUCCAUGGAGAUUAGGGCUCAGAGGUUAAAGCGUCUGCCUGGAAUGCAGGAGACCCGGGUUCAAUCCCUGGGU
This is a small nuclear RNA of Capra hircus (goat), 125 nucleotides long. Its record names the gene U5. It matches the Rfam family "U5 spliceosomal RNA". From Rfam's summary of the family: U5 RNA is a component of both types of known spliceosome. The precise function of this molecule is unknown, though it is known that the 5' loop is required for splice site selection and p220 binding, and that both the 3' stem-loop and the Sm site are important for Sm protein binding and cap methylation. Lineage: Eukaryota; Metazoa; Chordata; Mammalia; Artiodactyla; Bovidae. The record is from Ensembl.